Molecule: non-coding RNA, 1218 nt
Organism: Pogona vitticeps (central bearded dragon)
Lineage: Eukaryota; Metazoa; Chordata; Lepidosauria; Squamata; Agamidae
Source: RefSeq, a predicted model, not a curated record
CUCCACUCCGUAGAAGCGGCAGGGAAGGGGUUAAAAGUUCCUCACAGGCCGCCCCGGGCAGCCCCAUUUGCAAUGGCUUGCUUCUUUCUUUCUUUUUUAUUUUAUCCUUAAACCGCCGCUUUUCCCUCCGAGGCAGCUCCUUUGAACCUAAGCAGAUUAUACUGGAAGCGCAUGAAGGACACCGCGAGCUCGCCCGCGUGUUUUUUUUUUUUUCUUUCCCGAGGAGGAGAUUUGGCUCCAAAAUAGGGCGCUAAGCCGCCUUUCAGCCUCGCGCGUAUAAUUUUAUUAACGGAGGGACCGGCGCGAGCGCGCCAGGCGGCCUCGGCCCGGGCAAGCCUCCCCGGCAGGAAAGCGAAGCAAGCGGCCGGAAAGCCCCCCAAAGCCCGGUCGUCGUCGUCGCCGGCGCCGCGAACCUGGAAAAAGCCUGAGGAGCCAUUAAAGGAAGGAAGCGCUUUUUAAAAUCAGGGCCCAAGCUCUUUCUUGGUUUCCAUGACAGUUAUUAGGUAACAGAAAAAAAAAUAUUGAACUGUCUCCCACAAUGCUCCGGAGAAAGAAAGGGGGUGGGGGGAAGAGGUUGCUCCAGUGACAAAGCAGAGGAAUCCUGACUCGCGGCAAUUCGACUCAGGAGAGAAUUUGAAAAACUCUCUGGAUUAUGAUGUCAAUUUUUGGGUGCCCGCUCCUCGGCGCUCUGUUUAGGCUGGUGGGCGGUAGUGGUGCCUUUUAUUUCUGAAGGAAGAGCCUGCGCCGCUCUUGCUUACCUCGGAGCACACACACCACAAGCACGCGCUCGCAGACACACACACGCACACACACACCUAUCUCUGGCAUCCCCCGGAUAUGAACAAUUAUUCAGGUGGGCUCUUCACGGGGAGCGAAGCUCGAAGGCGGCCAAUCAGGCGGUGGCAACCUGCAGCCCUGUCAGGAUGCCGCUCCAGCGGAUCUCGGUAGUCCCAGCGCGGGAGACGGCCAGCAAUGGGAGAAGUUCGAUGGGCAGAAACAAAGAGAAGAACAAGGAAGUCGAGGAAUUCAGAAAUUGAAAAGGGAUAAGUGGAAGGAGAAAAUGUUGGGCUGGUGCCAAGCAAUAGCUCGUAAUCCUCACAGAUUCCCAAACAACACAAGAACCCCUGAGGUCACAGUUGAUGCUCCACAAAUCUCUGCCUUGAAUGAAAAAUCGCCAGGCCGCUCAACAAGUCGGUCGAGUAACAUUUCAAAGGUAAG